UGCUAUACAUGCAAGUCGAGCGGAUUGAUGGGAGCUUGCUCCCUGAUAUCAGCGGCGGACGGGUGAGUAACACGUGGGUAACCUGCCUGUAAGACUGGGAUAACUCCGGGAAACCGGGGCUAAUACCGGAUAACUCAUUUCCUCGCAUGAGGAAAUGUUGAAAGGUGGCUUUUCGCUACCACUUACAGAUGGACCCGCGGCGCAUUAGCUAGUUGGUGAGGUAACGGCUCACCAAGGCAACGAUGCGUAGCCGACCUGAGAGGGUGAUCGGCCACACUGGGACUGAGACACGGCCCAGACUCCUACGGGAGGCAGCAGUAGGGAAUCUUCCGCAAUGGACGAAAGUCUGACGGAGCAACGCCGCGUGAGUGAUGAAGGUUUUCGGAUCGUAAAGCUCUGUUGUUAGGGAAGAACAAGUGCCGUUCGAACAGGGCGGCACCUUGACGGUACCUAACCAGAAAGCCACGGCUAACUACGUGCCAGCAGCCGCGGUAAUACGUAGGUGGCAAGCGUUGUCCGGAAUUAUUGGG
Molecule: ribosomal RNA, 530 nt
Filed under: Bacillus sp. 27MD1 FL01
Lineage: Bacteria; Bacillati; Bacillota; Bacilli; Caryophanales; Bacillaceae
Description: bacterial SSU rRNA
Rfam family: Bacterial small subunit ribosomal RNA
Source: RNAcentral